UAUAUAUUUUGGAAUGCUUAUAUCGUUUCCAUCUCGAAUACUAUGAUAAGUUGGCAGACAAUGUUGGAUUCCCCACUUGGGAAAGGAAGAUAAAAUAUCUUUGUAUUUUAGCUUUGGUAACUCAGAUAUACACUUGGAGACUUGUCAGGGUUCUAUAUGAUUAAGCAUAUAGUGUUUUGGGAAUUAAGUCAUCUUAUUCAUGUGAUGUUUUUAUGUUAUUUUUAGAAUAGUUAUAUUUGGUUUCUUCGAUUGUGUUCCUACAUAUCUUUUUUGUCCUUGGUUUACUUCUUUUGAUCAUAUGCCUUUCAACUCCAAUCUAUUUUCUAGUCAUCUGAAAUGCAUCAGGAAUUUCACAAACACGGUGGAUUUGGUCAAACUCCUCUUAAAGUGCUAAGGUUAUACAUAUUUCUUUUGUGUUUUUUCUCUUGAUUUAAAUGAAAACUCUUAAUUUUCAAGAACUUCUAGCUGGCUAUUGACUUGAGUUGUAAUGGUCAAAGUAUGGAACAACAAGAUGAUAUAAGUGAUUUUAGAUAAAAGGGUUAAUGUCAUUAUAGCCAAUCCAAUUUUUAAAGUUUAUUUUAUUUGGUCAUUGAAGUUUUUUUUUUGUGCAUUCUAAGUCACCAAAGUUUCAAAUUUAGUGUUAAAAAGGGGAAUAUCACCAAGAUGAAGGGGUCACCCGGUCAUAUAGGUGAGUUGGUGGAUAUGUGGCAUUUUGGUCAAUUGAACUCUUCCAUGUGACAUUUUGGUCGACCACAUUAAUCAUCUUUUUAUAGAGAAAUAAAUCUCUCAUUUAUGAGUAUGAUUCAAAAUCUAUUAUCUUUCGUUUGUUAUCUAUCGUCUUUCUCUCGUAAAUAUGGUUUGUAUGUGUGUAUCUUCGAGUUACAGGUUUUUGGGCUUCUCGUUGCUGCAAAUAGACAUGGAUUUCUUAUUGCUAGGAAGUUCAAGUAAGGUCUUUUAAACCGUAAAGCUUCAAAAAACAUCAGAAACAAAUCCUGGUUUGUAAUAAAUGUAUAACAUAAACAAAUUUUUCACUAAAAUAUCUUAUUCACACGUUUUUUUUUCUCAAUUCCAUAUAGGGAUAAUGACUUAAAAGGGGAAUAUAUUUUUUGAUCUGUAUACAUUUAGUCACUGUGUUUUUUUUUCGUCCACAUUUACCUCUUCAACUUGUUAAACUGUACAUAUUUAGUCCUUAUGACCGGCUACUCCAGGUUAGCCGGUAAAAAUGACUUAAUAGGGUAAUAUAUUUCUCACUUUGUACACAUUUAGUCCUUAAUAUUUUUUUGUUGCAAAAUAAAUCCUUUUUGUUUUUGUAUUAAUUCAGUACUUAUGAAUGAUUUUUUAGGUUUUUUCUCACGACAUCUUAUGUGGAAUGGUCAUAUGGUGAUGAGAUAGGUUAAGAUGGUCCUGCUAUAUGUUUUAGGACAAGAUACCUAGUGCGGGUCAGCUAUAAGCUAUAGGCACGGAGACUCGAGAAGAGCGAUUGGGUUAAGGCGGCAUGCCAACAAACCUUGGGUAUUCCAGUCUGAUGAUUGAUUAGACCUGUUGCAUGUUGACAUUCCAGUCUGAUGACUGAUUGGGCCAAGGUAUUCCAAUCUGAUGAGUGUGGAUCCAUUAUGCAUGAUAAUACGUUUGUUGUAUUGCGUAUUUUGGGGGAAACUUACUAAACUUUGUGUUUACCUAGUUGUUUAUGUUUUCAGGUUCUAUCAUUGGUCGUGGAAAGGAGAAUGCAUGACUGUACACACACAUCAACAAUAUUGAGGACUCCACAUUUCUUAUAUUACUUCAAUUUUCGAUAAAUGUAUUUUGGAAUAGACAUUUUUUCUUAAUAAUGGCUUUAUAAUUAGAGAGUUUUGCCUUAUUUAAAAAAUAAAAUUUUUUGUUGUGAAAACGAGACAUUACACAUAAAUAUACACAGCCCCAUACACUUCAUCAAUGAUUGUCCCAUGUAAGGUGUCGUGAGAAAAACCUAAAGAAAACAUUUAUAAGUACUGAAUGUGUACAAAAAUAAAAAUGACUUAUUUUGAAACAAAAAAAAUAUUAAG
Molecule: long non-coding RNA, 2042 nt
Filed under: Lactuca sativa (garden lettuce)
Lineage: Eukaryota; Viridiplantae; Streptophyta; Magnoliopsida; Asterales; Asteraceae
Description: long non-coding RNA (LSAT_LNC003510)
Source: RNAcentral